UUAAAAGAGCCCAUUUUCCAGGUUCCAGACUGUUGGAAAUAUAUGCUGAUUCCUGGGAGUAGGGGCAGGAAUUAUUACAUGAAAAAGUCCCAGUCAUUGGAAGAAUCCCAUAACCUCCCUGAUGAGCGAUGGCUACCCUUCACUUGAGGUCUGGUAGGGAAGGGUAGCUGUCCUGGCCCCUUUUACAUAGGUUCCUCAUGCCUCAUCCUGACCAUAACCCUGUGUGUGUGUCUCUGUUACACACACCCCACCCACACCACUGUGAGCUCCUGAAUGGCAGGGAGAGGAACUUCCUUAUAUCUCUGUCCCCUCAGUGCCCAGCUGGAUGCCUGGCUCAGAGCAGAGACUUGAUAAGUGUUGGUUGAUUGAAUAAGUGCCAUCUCACCAAGCCCAGAAUAUACCUUGUCUUAAUCUCUAUCUUCAGGGCCAAGUUCAAUGCCUGGCACUUAACUUGGUGCUCAAUAAUGUUAGGAAAAAAUGAGCUCAUAAUCACCAUCCUUUAAUUAUGAUUGUUAUGUUUUUACUUUUAGCUAAAUGCUAUUUCCACCUCCCCUCCCCUCCCCAUGACUUCUGUUUUAUCUGUUCACUCACUAAAGCAUAGUAUCCUGAAUGCCUAUUAUGGCCCCAAGCCCUGACGUAGGUACUUGGUGUAUACAGGUGAGUGAAAGAGGCAAAGUCCUUGCCCUACUGGAAUUUACAGUCAAGUAGUAGAACAGUGUUUGGCACAAAGUGUUAGCUGCUCUUAUUAUUACUUCUGUCAUCUUAUUUUUUCCCCUGUAAAUGUGAGACUUCUCAGUUUACCAGAUGUCUCUUUUUCUGUGUCCUACCUCUAUUGCACUAUAGUACUUUUUUUUUUUUUUUUAAGUUUUCUGUAGGUACUUUUCUUCCUUAGAAGCCCAAGUUCUGAUUUUUCUUUCUUUCAGCUCACAUGUACAGGUCUCUUGCUCUGAGCCUAGGGGCUAUGCUGGGCACGUGCUGUAGGACCCAGUGCCUGCCCUCGGAUCACAGCCACAAAACCACACUUUCGUUUACUCACCACCGUCCUUUCUCUUUCUCUCUCUGUCUUUUCCAGGGACACAGACUUCAUCUGGACGGGUUGUCUGCUUUGCUGAGGCUUUCAGUUUGCUGCUCCAGAGUUCCUGGAGGCAACCCGAUUUCUCCUGGGAUGGUCACUGAAGUCAAAUUUAAGUGGACCGAGUUUGCCAUGGCUGACACGUUCUUGUGA
Molecule: long non-coding RNA, 1225 nt
Filed under: Capra hircus (goat)
Lineage: Eukaryota; Metazoa; Chordata; Mammalia; Artiodactyla; Bovidae
Description: lncRNA (ENSCHIG00010026375.1)
Source: RNAcentral